This is a long non-coding RNA of Micropterus salmoides (largemouth bass), 447 nucleotides long. RefSeq lists it as uncharacterized. Lineage: Eukaryota; Metazoa; Chordata; Actinopteri; Centrarchiformes; Centrarchidae. The record is from RefSeq and is a predicted model, not a curated record. The transcript is spliced from 3 exons.
GGCAGGAAAAUCAGUGAACGCGCCUCUCGUGAGAUUCAGCUGCAGCGUCCAACCAACACAGAAUGCACACGAAGAUCCGGCCACGACCAAAGAGCAGCUCCACCACCAGAUCGUCCAAACCUGCGACAGGAUCAUGGAGGCGAUUGACCGUCAGGUCGAGUUAAGAAGGGAUGCGGAGCAGGAGGCGGCGCAGCUGGAGAAAGAAGUUGCUGCCGAGAAAGAGCUGCUGAAAGAAGGGCUGAAAUUGCUGAAAGAACUUGAAGAAAAGAAAGAACAGCUGAAAGUCCUCCUGGCUUUAUCUCGGGGUGCUGUGACUGAGGCCAGCACCCAGACGGAGAAGGACAGCAUGUAAAUGUUUGUUCCUGUGUUCGUGUUGGAGUUCUUUUUUUGCGUUAUUAUAAAAUAAAUCACACAAAAGUGGCAGCUUGUGUCCAUCCUGCACAUUUA